RNAcentral lists this small nuclear RNA (107 nucleotides) under Peromyscus maniculatus bairdii (prairie deer mouse). Lineage: Eukaryota; Metazoa; Chordata; Mammalia; Rodentia; Cricetidae. The record is from RNAcentral.
GUGCUCACUUCAGCAGCACAUAUACUAAAAUUGGAAUGACACAAAGAAGAUUAGCAUGGCCCCUGCAUAAGGAUGACAUGCAAAUUUGUGAAGCAUUCCAUAUUUUA